CAUCCAUGCAGUCGAGCGGAACGAGUUAUCUGAACCUUCGGGGAACGAUAACGGCGUCGAGCGGCGGACGGGUGAGUAAUGCCUAGGAAAUUGCCCUGAUGUGGGGGAUAACCAUUGGAAACGAUGGCUAAUACCGCAUGAUGCCUACGGGCCAAAGAGGGGGACCUUCGGGCCUCUCGCGUCAGGAUAUGCCUAGGUGGGAUUAGCUAGUUGGUGAGGUAAGGGCUCACCAAGGCGACGAUCCCUAGCUGGUCUGAGAGGAUGAUCAGCCACACUGGAACUGAGACACGGUCCAGACUCCUACGGGAGGCAGCAGUGGGGAAUAUUGCACAAUGGGCGCAAGCCUGAUGCAGCCAUGCCGCGUGUGUGAAGAAGGCCUUCGGGUUGUAAAGCACUUUCAGUCGUGAGGAAGGUAGUGUAGUUAAUAGCUGCAUUAUUUGACGUUAGCGACAGAAGAAGCACCGGCUAACUCCGUGCCAGCAGCCGCGGUAAUACGGAGGGUGCGAGCGUUAAUCGGAAUUACUGGGCGUAAAGCGCAUGCAGGUGGUUUGUUAAGUCAGAUGUGAAAGCCCGGGGCUCAACCUCGGAAUAGCAUUUGAAACUGGCAGACUAGAGUACUGUAGAGGGGGGUAGAAUUUCAGGUGUAGCGGUGAAAUGCGUAGAGAUCUGAAGGAAUACCGGUGGCGAAGGCGGCCCCCUGGACAGAUACUGACACUCAGAUGCGAAAGCGUGGGGAGCAAACAGGAUUAGAUACCCUGGUAGUCCACGCCGUAAACGAUGUCUACUUGGGAGGUUGUGGCCUUGAGCCGUGGCUUUCGGAGCUAACGCGUUAAGUAGACCGCCUGGGGGAGUACGGUCGCAAGAUUAAAACUCAAAUGAAUUGACGGGGGCCCGCACAAGCGGUGGAGCAUGUGGUUUAAUUUCGAUGCAACGCGAAGAACCUUACCUACUCUUGACAUCCAGAGAACUUUCCAGAGGAUGGAUUGGUGCCUUCGGGAACUCUGAGACAGGUGCUGCAUGGCUGUCGUCAGCUCGUGUUGUGAAAUGUUGAAUCAGUCCCGCAACGAGCGCAACCCGUGAUCCUUGUUU
RNAcentral lists this ribosomal RNA (1089 nucleotides) under Vibrio neocaledonicus. Its description in RNAcentral is "bacterial SSU rRNA". It matches the Rfam family "Bacterial small subunit ribosomal RNA", at positions 50 to 1117 of the family's 1533-position model. Lineage: Bacteria; Pseudomonadati; Pseudomonadota; Gammaproteobacteria; Vibrionales; Vibrionaceae. The record is from RNAcentral.